Molecule: unclassified non-coding RNA, 432 nt
Filed under: soil metagenome
Description: partial contains 5.8S ribosomal RNA, internal transcribed spacer 2, and large subunit ribosomal RNA
Rfam family: 5.8S ribosomal RNA (bases 1-120)
Source: RNAcentral
GAUGAAGAACGUAGCGAAAUGAGAUACGUAAUGUGAAUUGCAGAAUUCAGUGAAUCAUCGAAUCUUUGAACGCAUAUUGCGCUCUCUGGUAUUCCGGAGAGCAUGCUUGUUUGAGUAUCAGUAAACACCUCAACUUCCAUAUCUUUUUUGAAAUGGGAGUUGGACUUGAGUGAUCCCAACGCUUUUCCUCACCGAAAAGUGGCGGGUUACUUGAAAUGCAGGUGCAGCUGGACUUUUCUCUGAGCUAUAAGCAUAUCUAUUUAGUCUGCCUAAAAAACAGAUUAUUACCUUUGCUGCAGCUAACAUAAAGGAGAUUAGUUCUUGUGCUGACUGAUGCAGGAUUCACAAAGACGGCUUCGGCCGACUUUGUAAACUCGAUCUCAAAUCAAGUAAGACUACCCGCUGAACUUAAGCAUAUCAAUAAGCGGAGGA